Molecule: ribosomal RNA, 486 nt
Filed under: uncultured bacterium
Lineage: Bacteria
Description: partial 16S ribosomal RNA
Rfam family: Bacterial small subunit ribosomal RNA
Source: RNAcentral
GAUGAACGCUGGCGGCGUGCCUAAUACAUGCAAGUCGAACGCUGGAAAUCUAGCUUGCUAGAUUGAAGGAGUGGCGAACGGGUGAGUAAUACAUAAGCAACCUACCCACGAAGACUGGGAUAAUCUCUGGAAACGGGGACUAAUACCGGAUAGGUAAUCGGAAGGCGUCUUCUGAUUAUUAAAGGUUAAAAACACUGGUGGAUGGGCUUAUGGCGCAUUAGUUAGUUGGUGAGGUAACGGCCCACCAAGACGAUGAUGCGUAGCCGGCCUGAGAGGGUGAACGGCCACAUUGGGACUGAGACACGGCCCAGACUCCUACGGGAGGCAGCAGUAGGGAAUUUUCGGCAAUGGGGGAAACCCUGACCGAGCAACGCCGCGUGAGUGAUGACGGCCUUCGGGUUGUAAAGCUCUGUUGUAAGGGAAGAACGGUAGAUAGAGAAUAUCUAAAUGACGGUACCUUACCAGAAAGCCACGGCUAACUACGUG